AAGUGGGAGCUACUGACGCGACCAAAAAGUAAAGGGGGAAUGGGGUUCAGAGAUUUUCAUGGGUUCAACCUAGCCAUGCUUGCUAAACAGGCUUGGCGUAUGCUCACAGUCCCUGACUUGCUGUGUGCUCGGGUCCUCAAGGCCAAGUAUUUCCCUGAGACAUCAAUUUUGGAUGCUCAACCGAAGGCGGGGAUCUCUUACACUUGGUGAAGUAUCCUGAAAGGAGUACAACUGCUGAAGGAAGGUGUUAGAUGGAGAGUUGGGGAUGGAGCCAACAUAAACAUUUGGUCUGAUCCGUGGCUGGCCAAAGAUGGAACACGACGACCUUGCACUCUUCAUGGCAAUUGUGUGCUUACUAAGGUGGCGGAGCUCAUUGAUCCUACAUCCAUGGUGUGGGAUGAGCAACUAGUCUGGGAUAUCUUUUGGCCUGAGGAUGCUAACAUCAUACUAGCCAUGCAUAUAAGAGAGGAUUUUGAGGAUUACUACGCCUGA
RNAcentral lists this ribosomal RNA (492 nucleotides) under Triticum aestivum (bread wheat). RNAcentral describes it as "partial small subunit ribosomal RNA". The record is from RNAcentral. Lineage: Eukaryota; Viridiplantae; Streptophyta; Magnoliopsida; Poales; Poaceae.